GAGGUUAUGCGGGACUCAUCCUCAGCAAGUUUUUUGGUUUACAAAAUGUUUCUUCUUCCGCGCGAGGGCUCUGGAAAAAUGCGUGAAACGUGCCGUUGCUGACAGCAUUGGGCUCGCGACGUAACACGAUAAAAGCAGUGGACCUGAGCGCGCGUGGAACCGCAGCUGCGAUAGUAUUCUCUCCACGUGCGCAGCCAGAGAGUCACUGACUGCUGAAGUUCCCCGAGCUGGGGUGUGGAGAGGAGCUACGAAGGUCCGCCCAGAAAGAGGUUAAGGAGGAGGAAUGGGGUCACCGACACUGCAGUUUGUUUUUCUUUCUCUUUUGAUUACAGGUGUAGGCUACAGCUGCCAAGACAUUAUGGCAGCCAACAGCUGUGAAGGCUCUUCCGACUGUUUCGUCACAUCCUGGGCAUUUAAGGUGUUUUACACUUGAAGCAGACCUGAAGACCAGCAUGCUGUAUGUGAAAGCAACCACAGCAACUACACAAGAACUGAGCUACAGCACGAGAAGUGAAAGAGAGAUGGGCGAGAGAUGUGACUCAUGACCACCAUACAACAACUUUCAACUGUUUUUUUUUUCAGCAUUUGAUUUGCAUUUCCAGACCCUUUCAAUAACAUCAGGUAACAAUUUUAAAGGUUCACCAAAAAGAAACUGAGAGAAAAUAUCUUUUGCUGAUAAUUUAUUUAUUUGGAAGGACCGCAAGACAAAUAUUAAAGGAAUAGAUUUUGGGGAAUGCA
Micropterus dolomieu (smallmouth bass) is the source of this 738-nucleotide long non-coding RNA. RefSeq lists it as uncharacterized. The transcript is spliced from 3 exons. NCBI's taxonomy places the organism in Eukaryota, Metazoa, Chordata, Actinopteri, Centrarchiformes, Centrarchidae. The record is from RefSeq and is a predicted model, not a curated record.